CAAUAAUGUCCCAGUGCCAAUUAGCAUACCAGUGCCAUUUUUGGCUUUCUAAGAACUAUUUUUCAGUAGAUGAAGAAAUUCAGACUCAGAAGAGAAAUGGCUACCCCAGAUCCGGGACAAAGAAAGUAUGAAGUAAGCUUCUGACAUCUUGUGACAGAAAACAAAGGCUCAAAGAAUGACACGGAUUGGCUCAAAUAACCCAGGAGACGGUUGGAAGGGAUCUGCCCAGUAACUCUGCAAGACAGGUGACUUCAUCUCUGGCUGACAGAGGAGGUUAUUCAAAGAGGAAGAGGUCAGACAGAUGACCACGAUCAAGCCCAGAGAACAGCAGAACCCCGUCUCUCGGGUGCCAUAGACCUGGCCCAUCCUGUCCUCAAGGGGCUGGAUUAGCAGAGAGAAGGCACAGGGUCUCACUCUGUCUCCCAGGCGGGUCUUGAACUCCUAGGCUCAAGCAAUCCUACUGCCUCAGCCUCCCGAAGUGCUGGGAUUGCAGGUAUGAGCCACCAUGCCUGGCCCCAGAAAUAUUCUGAACGAGGCAAAAGGAACAAGAAACAAACAAAGAGAGUCUAAACAAAAGACAUCCAGACCAGGGGGCUCGAUAUUGCUGCUGUAACUUUAACAUCCAGACAUGCACCUUGCCAGAAGUUUGACUUCCAGCUGCUGGCUAUUGCCAGGCCCCAAGGUCUUAUGUAUUAUGGCACUCAUAAGUCUGGUGGGAUGGGAAGGAGGGGAUGCCUUUUAAUUGGGAAAAUAUGUAUCUUCUUCAAAAUUAUUUUAAAUUAGCAUUUAGCUAAUAAUAAGCUCAAUUAAGAGAACAUAUUUAUAUGAAAAUCUAAUUUAUUUAAUUAUUUCAAAUGAGAAAUAAAAGAGAAGUCAUUUGAAAGCCAACAUUUGCACUGCAUGUGUGUCUCUGUGUGUAUGUGUUUUUAUACCCGUGUCCCUUUUUUAUGACCUGCUGGAAAAUCCUGGCUGUCCCACCCAGAACACACUGAGCCCUACAGUUCCGUUCCUUUCC
RNAcentral lists this long non-coding RNA (1015 nucleotides) under Homo sapiens (human). Its description in RNAcentral is "HSALNT0392992". Lineage: Eukaryota; Metazoa; Chordata; Mammalia; Primates; Hominidae. The record is from RNAcentral.